RNAcentral lists this long non-coding RNA (218 nucleotides) under Elaeis guineensis (African oil palm). RNAcentral describes it as "long non-coding RNA (EGUI_LNC034280)". Lineage: Eukaryota; Viridiplantae; Streptophyta; Magnoliopsida; Arecales; Arecaceae. The record is from RNAcentral.
GGGCACCAUUUGCUAAGAAAAGAGGUGAUAAUCCUUAUGAGGGUACUACCCGCACCUUUCCCUCUUAGAAUGCUAAGUCUUAGAAGAGCGGAUAGCUAAGAUAAGGAUACUAACCUCUUUGUCCAGGUCUCCUUCUAGUUAAAAUCUAAGUAGGUCUUUGAGGAAGAGGGGGUAGAACCCUCUUCUAUACACUGGAGCAUCUCUCUACUCUUGGAUAU